RNAcentral lists this ribosomal RNA (396 nucleotides) under uncultured soil bacterium. RNAcentral describes it as "bacterial SSU rRNA". It matches the Rfam family "Bacterial small subunit ribosomal RNA", at positions 975 to 1368 of the family's 1533-position model. The record is from RNAcentral.
CAGCCCUUGACAUCCCGGUCGCGGUUUCCAGAGAUGGAUUCCUUCAGUUCGGCUGGACCGGUGACAGGUGCUGCAUGGCUAUCGUCAGCUCGUGUCGUGAGAUGUUGGGUUAAGUCCCGCAACGAGCGCAACCCUCGCCCUUAGUUGCCAGCAUUAAGUUGGGCACUCUAAGGGGACUGCCGGUGAUAAACCGAGAGGAAGGUGGGGAUGACGUCAAGUCCUCAUGGCCCUUACGGGCUGGGCUACACACGUGCUACAAUGGUGGUGACAGUGGGCAGCGAGACCGCGAGGUCGAGCUAAUCUCCAAAAGCCAUCUCAGUUCGGAUUGCACUCUGCAACUCGAGUGCAUGAAGUUGGAAUCGCUAGUAAUCGCGGAUCAGCAUGCCGCGGUGAAUA